AUUGAACGCUGGCGGCAUGCCUAACACAUGCAAGUCGAACGGAGAUAGGGGCAACCUUAUUUCAGUGGCGGACGGGUGAGGAAUGCGUCGGAAUCUGCCCUAUGGUGGGGGAUAACACAGGGAAACUUGUGCUAAUACCGCAUAAUGUCGAGAGACCAAAGCAGGGGACCGCAAGGCCUUGCGCGAUAGGAUGAGCCGACGCCCGAUUAGCUUGUUGGUAGGGUAAUGGCCUACCAAGGCGACGAUCGGUAGCUGGUCUGAGAGGAUGAUCAGCCACACUGGGACUGAGACACGGCCCAGACUCCUACGGGAGGCAGCAGUGGGGAAUAUUGGACAAUGGGCGCAAGCCUGAUCCAGCAAUGCCGCGUGUGUGAAGAAGGCCUGCGGGUUGUAAAGCACUUUUGUUCGGGAAGAAAUACAUGUCGGUUAAUACCCGAUGUGGAUGACGGUACCGAAAGAAUAAGCACCGGCUAACUUCGUGCCAG
Molecule: ribosomal RNA, 485 nt
Filed under: uncultured bacterium
Lineage: Bacteria
Description: bacterial SSU rRNA
Rfam family: Bacterial small subunit ribosomal RNA
Source: RNAcentral